Megalopta genalis is the source of this 1180-nucleotide non-coding RNA. The record is from RefSeq and is a predicted model, not a curated record. NCBI's taxonomy places the organism in Eukaryota, Metazoa, Arthropoda, Insecta, Hymenoptera, Halictidae.
GAGCAACGCUACUCCGAUACUGAACCGCUGAGCGCUUGCGCUCGGCUUAUAUAAAUCCGAUGGACACGUCCUUCGCGCUCCCUGUGUUCCAUUUCGCGCUAAAUGUUUCAAAAUUCUUUUCAAUUUCACAGAUUUUCGCCAUUUCAAGUGUCUCUUAGAAAUGCUCCCCUGUACUGUCUACCAAAGAACAAUAUACCUGCAUAUCAACGAUUUUAAGUAUUGGGCACAAUGAAUAAAUGUUCAACAUGAAAUGCUACAGAUGAAAUUAUUUUGACGAAAGACCAAGAGUUCAUUGUACCUAUUCUUGAGCAGACGACAAACUGUGCUCGUUUCCAGCCGCUCAUCUGAAAAGGGGUUUUAAGUAACAGAUAUAUAUAUAUAUAUAUAUUCUAUUGAUUUAUAUAAUUUUGCGUUUAUAUUACAUAAUUAUAGAUGCCCAGAUGUAUAUGUUACGUUCGUUAUAUUGCAGGAAGCAUCGGUGGUUCAGUGGUAGAAUGCUCGCCUGCCACGCGGGCGGCCCGGGUUCGAUUCCCGGCCGAUGCAAAUUGUGUUUCUUUUUUAUUUUAUCUUUUUCAUUUCCAUUUGCCUAUCAGACUACAAAUAGAUAAAGAAACGUAUAAUUGUGAUAAGUAAGGCGGUAUUGUACAAAGACUGUAUCUAUGUAUCAUGUGAAUCUGCUGUAAAUACGUUUCAACUAGUCACCUUCUAAUGUAUGUAUAUGCAAAACUUUGACACGCGAGAGUUAUAAAUACUACAUAAACAGGAUUAACGUAGAGGAUACCCGAGACUUUGUUCUAAAAAUGUAUUUUGCGUAUCGAUUGAAAUGCGAACGCACGACGGGUAUAAGAUGGUCGUUAAAGUCUCCAAGACUAGAUACAAUUUAGCUGGAUAUUCAAUUCCUUAUCGUCUACGAUAAGAUUGUUCCCUGAUAUCAAACGCUAGCUAAUAAAUAUUAAAUAAUUGCAAUAAAUUGUUGGAUGGAACAUCAACUUGCUGGUACAUAGAAGUGCAGCAGUAAAAAUUGUUGCUACCUGUGAAUAGACAUCGUGAUAAUUAGUUAUUAUCGGGUAAAUUGUUAAGUAGAUUAUUAGGUAUGUAAUAUACGGUUGUGAACAUAAACGUUUAUUGGAAUCUUUUAUGUUACAAUAUCAGAGUGACAAUAAAUUGUAUUUAGCACUUA